Molecule: non-coding RNA, 110 nt
Organism: Acanthosepion pharaonis
Lineage: Eukaryota; Metazoa; Mollusca; Cephalopoda; Sepiida; Sepiidae
Source: the annotation of a GenBank genome assembly
AUGUCCAUAUCACGUUGAAACACCGGUUCUCGUACGAUUGCUUAAGUUAAGCAACGUCAAUUCCGGUUAGUACCUAGAUGGGUGACCGUUUGGGAAUAUAAGGUGUGGUA